UGGGGAAUUUUGGACAAUGGGCGCAAGUCUGAUCCAGCCAUGCCGCGUGCGGGAAGAAGGCCUUCGGGUUGUAAACCGCUUUUGUCAUGGAAGAAACGAGUUUCUCUAAUACAGAGACUUAAUGACGGUACCUGAAGAAUAAGCACCGGCUAACUACGUGCCAUCAGCCGCGGUAAUACGUCGGGUGCAAUCGUUCAUCGGAAUUACUGGGCGUAAAGCGUGCGCAGGCGGUUAUGCAAGACAGAGGUGACAUCCCCGCGCUCUACCUGGGAACUGCCUUUGUGACUGAAUAGCUAGAGUACGGUAGAGGGGGAUGGAAUUCAGCGUGAAGCAGUGAAAUGCGUAGAUAUGCAGAGGAACACCGAUGGAGAAGGCAAUCCCCUGGACCUGUACUGACGCUCAUGCACGAAAGCGUGGGGAGCAAACA
Molecule: ribosomal RNA, 427 nt
Filed under: uncultured bacterium
Lineage: Bacteria
Description: bacterial SSU rRNA
Rfam family: Bacterial small subunit ribosomal RNA
Source: RNAcentral